GUGCUUGCUUCGGCAGCACAUAUACUAAAAUUGGAACGAUACAGAGAAGAUUAGCAUGGCCCCUGCACAACGAGGACAUGCAAAUUCAUGAACGUUUCAUAUUUAA
RNAcentral lists this small nuclear RNA (106 nucleotides) under Propithecus coquereli (Coquerel's sifaka). The record is from RNAcentral. Lineage: Eukaryota; Metazoa; Chordata; Mammalia; Primates; Indriidae.